This 367-nucleotide unclassified non-coding RNA is filed under the name Hevea brasiliensis (rubber tree). The record is from RNAcentral. Lineage: Eukaryota; Viridiplantae; Streptophyta; Magnoliopsida; Malpighiales; Euphorbiaceae.
GAUGAUAAAAUCUAAAUACUUGAAUUGGUUGUAUUUUGGUACCAAAAUUCUAUUCAAUUGAACCUCCAUUCCAUUCCUUCUAUGAGAGUUUAAACUCACAAUUUAUAUAUUCUAUCAUAAUUCUACUUAGGCUGAAACCCUUAUUCUCAAGAGUCCUUCUCUACACCUACAAUUUUUAUUUAACUUUUUCAAUGGUUUCAUCCACAAAGAUUACAUCAUUUGCAAGUAACAUGCACCAUGAGACAUCAUUUUGAAUAUUCAUUCAUAACUAAGGUAAACAAGUACGGACUUAAAGCUAAUCCUUGAUGUAAACCCAUUGUUAUGGAAAAUCAUCUAUAUCCUUUCCCAUUGUUCUUACACUUGUAAC